Molecule: ribosomal RNA, 253 nt
Filed under: uncultured bacterium
Lineage: Bacteria
Description: partial 16S ribosomal RNA
Rfam family: Bacterial small subunit ribosomal RNA
Source: RNAcentral
UACGUAGGGCGCAAGCGUUGUCCGGAAUUAUUGGGCGUAAAGAGCUCGUAGGUGGUUUGUUACGUCUGCUGUGAAAACCUAGGGCUUAACCCUGGGCUUGCAGUGGAUACGGGCAGACUAGAGGUAGGUAGGGGAGAAUGGAAUUCCUGGUGUAGCGGUGAAAUGCGCAGAUAUCAGGAGGAACACCGGUGGCGAAGGCGGUUCUCUGGGCCUGUACUGACGCUGAGGAGCGAAAGCGUGGGGAGCAAACAGG